CCUACGGGUGGCAGCAGUGAGGAAUAUUGCACAAUGGGCGAAACACUGAUGCAGCGACGCCGCGUGAGUGAAGAAGUAUUUCGGUAUGUAAAGCUCUAUCAGCAGGGAAGAAAAUGACGGUACCUGAUUAAGAAGCCCCGGCUAAAUACGUGCCAGCAGCCGCGGUAAUACGUAGGGGGCAAGCGUUAUCCGGAUUUACUGGGUGUAAAGGGAGCGUAGACGGCAGGACAAGUCUGGAGUGAAAUGCCGGGGCUUAACCCCGGAACUGCUUUGGAAACUGUGCAGCUAGAGUGCAGGAGAGGUAAGUGGAAUUCCUGGUGUAGCGGUGAAAUGCGUAGAUAUUAGGAGGAACACCAGUGGCGAAGGCGGCUUACUGGACUGUAACUGACGUUGAGGCUCGAAAGCGUGGGGAGCGAACAGGAUUAGAUACCCGGGUAGUC
Molecule: ribosomal RNA, 440 nt
Filed under: uncultured bacterium
Lineage: Bacteria
Description: partial 16S ribosomal RNA
Rfam family: Bacterial small subunit ribosomal RNA
Source: RNAcentral